GAUGAACGCUGGCGGCGUGCCUAAUACAUGCAAGUCGAGCGAACAGACGAGGAGCUUGCUCCUCUGACGUUAGCGGCGGACGGGUGAGUAACACGUGGAUAACCUACCUAUAAGACUGGGAUAACUUCGGGAAACCGGAGCUAAUACCGGAUAAUAUAUUGAACCGCAUGGUUCAAUAGUGAAAGACGGUUUUGCUGUCACUUAUAGAUGGAUCCGCGCCGCAUUAGCUAGUUGGUAAGGUAACGGCUUACCAAGGCAACGAUGCGUAGCCGACCUGAGAGGGUGAUCGGCCACACAUGAACUGAGACACGGGCCAGACUCCUACGGGAGGCAGCAGUAGGGAAUCUUCCGCAAUGGGCGAAAGCCUGACGGAGCAACGCCGCGUGAGUGAUGAAGGUCUUCGGAUCGUAAAACUCUGUUAUUAGGGAAGAACAAAUGUGUAAGUAACUAUGCACGUCUUGACGGUACCUAAUCAGAAAGCCACGGCUAACUACGUG
Molecule: ribosomal RNA, 497 nt
Filed under: uncultured bacterium
Lineage: Bacteria
Description: partial 16S ribosomal RNA
Rfam family: Bacterial small subunit ribosomal RNA
Source: RNAcentral